GAUGAACGCUGGCGGCGUGCCUAAUACAUGCAAGUCGAGCGAACAGACGAGGAGCUUGCUCCUCUGACGUUAGCGGCGGACGGGUGAGUAACACGUGGAUAACCUACCUAUAAGACUGGGAUAACUUCGGGAAACCGGAGCUAAUACCGGAUAAUAUAUUGAACCGCAUGGUUCAAUAGUGAAAGACGGUUUUGCUGUCACUUAUAGAUGGAUCCGCGCCGCAUUAGCUAGUUGGUAAGGUAACGGCUUACCAAGGCGACGAUGCGUAGCCGACCUGAGAGGGUGAUCGGCCACGCUUGAACUGAGACACGGUCCAGACUCCUACGGGAGGCAGCAGUAGGGAAUCUUCCGCAAUGGGCGAAAGCCUGACGGAGCAACGCCGCGUGAGUGAUGAAGGUCUUCGGAUCGUAAAACUCUGUUAUUAGGGAAGAACAAAUGUGUAAGUAACUAUGCACGUCUUGACGGUACCUAAUCAGAAAGCCACGGCUAACUACGUG
RNAcentral lists this ribosomal RNA (497 nucleotides) under uncultured bacterium. RNAcentral's name for it is "partial 16S ribosomal RNA". It matches the Rfam family "Bacterial small subunit ribosomal RNA", at positions 28 to 507 of the family's 1533-position model. The record is from RNAcentral.